UACGGAGGGUGCAAACGUUGCUCGGAAUCAUUGGGCGUAAAGCGCACGUAGGUGGCCUGUUAAGUCGGGUGUGAAAUCCCUGGGCUCAACCCAGGAAGUGCACUCGAAACUGGCAGGCUUGAGUACUGAAGAGGGUCGCGGAAUUCCCGGUGUAGAGGUGAAAUUCGUAGAUAUCGGGAGGAACACCGGUGGCGAAGGCGGGUCUCUGGGCCAAUACUGACGCUGAGGAGCGAAAGCGUGGGGAGCGAACAGG
This 253-nucleotide ribosomal RNA is filed under the name uncultured bacterium. RNAcentral's name for it is "partial 16S ribosomal RNA". It matches the Rfam family "Bacterial small subunit ribosomal RNA", at positions 524 to 776 of the family's 1533-position model. The record is from RNAcentral.